GGACUUAAUAGUCAUUGUCCGAUUUUAUCAGAUAUUUGGUUUGUAGAUUAUACAUUUUUAUUUCGUAAGGCAACAUCUGCCGAUUUGUGCUAAUCUUCUUCAUCUUUUCAAACUUAGGAAUCGGCAAUCUAUUUUAGUCGAAAUACUCCUGAUCAUUCACAAUGUCUAUCUUCAAACUUCCUGAUGGUUUAGCCCGACGAUUAAACAAAUAGAAAGCUUGUUUUUGGUGGGAAUCUAUCAGUUCUACUACUAGAAGAGUCCAUUGAAAAUCUUGAUACUCUCUUUGUCAAUCAAAAAUUGAAGGCGAAUUGGGUUUUAGGGAUUUUGUGUCUAUCAACUAUUCUCGUCUAGCAGCUAUCGCCUGGAGAUUAUUGUGGAAUCCCGAUUGGAACGUUACUAACAGUGGUGAAAGGGUCCUCUCCUAGUGUGGUUGGAGUAGCAUUAUCAUUGGUGGGGAUUUAUUACUCCAGGGUGGACGAUGGCUAGUUGGGUAUGGUAAUCGACCCUGGUCAUUAAAUUGCCUUGGCUACCGACUUCGCCACCAUCAAUUCCAAUUCUCUGACCUUCCACGAUCCUAAUACCGGAUAUGGUUGCAUCUGUUAUUUCUCAUUUUCGCUGGAAUGUACCUUUGUUGGAUGCCUUAUUUGUGCCAGCCUCAGUUAACCUUAUUCUUUCAAUCCCACUAUCAUUUUCUCCGGUUGCAGACAAAUGGAUAUAGUCGCUUAGUCGAGCAGGCAAUUAUGUUGUCUCGUCUGGAUAUCGCCUUAAGUAGGAUAUGAUUUCUCGAGCUACUUUUCCAAGGUACGAACCUGUUAUUAUCGACUCAUUGAUUUGGGCUCUUACAUGGGGUCUUCCAUUGCAACCCAAGCUAAAAUUCUUCGUCUGGAUGAUUUUACAGGGUGUUCUUCCAUUAAAAGAUGGUUUUCUCGCUCGUAAUGUAAUUGUGUACCCUACGUGCCCCAUUUGUGGUGAUCUGGAUGAAACUCUUCGUCAUCUUCUCUUCUUUCUCUCGGGAACCAUCAUCCAGCAAUAUUUUGGCAACUUCUUUGUUCCACGGAUUUUGUACUGGCGAUUAAAUUGGUUUUCUUUUGGUGGAAAAUUUUGAAAUUGAGAAACUGCAUAGUUUUCAAUCACUAUCCGCAGUCCAUCUCUUCUUUUCAUCGUCAAUUUCUUGUCCAUUCGUAUGAAAGACCUAGAUUGGCGACUUCCUCGCGGGAGUUACGUGCGGCACCUUAUACAUAUUCUCGAUCCCAUUGUUUGCAGGCUAGAAGACCGUAUUGGAGAUUUAGUGUGGAUGCAGCAGUACAUCCAACUCUGAGGAUUGUUCUCGGAUUGGAUUUGUUGCAAUUAGUGGUGUUCUCUGACGGGCCUGCCAUUCACGGUGCCGGCAUCGAGAGUUGUGAUACCUUUAAUUACAGAUCCCCUGAUCUUGGUGGUCAUGGCAAUACGAUAUCCCCUGUUAGCAGAUCUCCCUCCACUUCAUGAAUUGAUUUGUAUAUUUUCAUAUUCCCAAGAAGUGGUUCGGAUAAUAACAGGUCUUAAUGACGACAUCCGCACUGGUCAACUACGUCAAGAAUGUAGGAACCUCUUCAAUUCAUUCUCCACCCUUUAUCUUAUUUUUGCCUCUCGGAACGAUAACUACGUCGCCCAUUCUAUGGCACGUGAGGCUCUUUCAUUAUCCUUUGAAUCGACAUGCAUUUUCACUCAAUUAUUGUAUCACGUCUUACUGUGAUUUAUGCUUUUUAAGGUUUAAUUUGUAUCUCUUAACGUUGUGCAUCAACACCGAUACAUCUGAAUAAAAAAAUUUAGAGUCGAG
This 1816-nucleotide long non-coding RNA is filed under the name Linum usitatissimum (flax). RNAcentral's name for it is "long non-coding RNA (LUSI_LNC002694)". The record is from RNAcentral. Lineage: Eukaryota; Viridiplantae; Streptophyta; Magnoliopsida; Malpighiales; Linaceae.